UUUAACUGAGCGUUCAGUUACUUGACGUAGACCCGAAACCGGGCGACCUACCCAUGAGCAGGAUGAAGCGAAAGUAAAAUUUCGUGGAGGUCCGAACCCACGAGCGUUGAAAAGCUCGGGGAUGACUUGUGGGUAGCGGUGAAAUUCCAAUCGAGCCCGGAGAUAGCUGGUUCUCCCCGAAAUAGCUUUAGGGCUAGCCUCAAGGUGAGAGAUACGGAGGUAGAGCACUGAAUGUCCUAGGGGGUAUUGCACCUACCGAAGACUAUCAAACUCCGAAUGCCGUCAUCUUAUACUUGGGAGUCAGACUGUGGGUGAUAAGAUUCAUAGUCGAAAGGGCAACAGCCCAGAUCGUCAGCUAAGGUCCCUAAAUGUAAGUUAAGUGGUAAAGGAUGUGGGAUUGCACAGACAACCAGGAUGUUGGCUUAGAAGCAGCCACUCAUUCAAAGAGUGCGUAAUAGCUCACUGGUCGAGUGAUCCUGCGCCGAAGAUUUCCGGGGCUAAAACUUACUACCGAAGCUACGGCAUCAGUAAUGAUGGGUAGGGGAGCUUCCCAUACGGGUUGAAGCAUGACCGUAAGGA
RNAcentral lists this ribosomal RNA (579 nucleotides) under Clostridioides difficile. Its description in RNAcentral is "partial 23S ribosomal RNA". It matches the Rfam family "Bacterial large subunit ribosomal RNA", at positions 683 to 1269 of the family's 2925-position model. The record is from RNAcentral. Lineage: Bacteria; Bacillati; Bacillota; Clostridia; Peptostreptococcales; Peptostreptococcaceae.